UCUUGAAAGAGAGAUGUGCCCUUCGGGGAGCUCGGAGACAGGUGCUGCAUGGCUGUCGUCAGCUCGUGUCGUGAGAUGUUGGGUUAAGUCCCGCAACGAGCGCAACCCUUAUCUUUAGUUACCAGCAUUCAGUUGGGGACUCUAAAGAUACUGCCCCGGUUAACGGG
RNAcentral lists this ribosomal RNA (167 nucleotides) under uncultured bacterium. Its description in RNAcentral is "partial 16S ribosomal RNA". It matches the Rfam family "Bacterial small subunit ribosomal RNA", at positions 999 to 1165 of the family's 1533-position model. The record is from RNAcentral.